This 292-nucleotide ribosomal RNA is filed under the name uncultured prokaryote. Its description in RNAcentral is "partial 16S ribosomal RNA". It matches the Rfam family "Bacterial small subunit ribosomal RNA", at positions 505 to 796 of the family's 1533-position model. The record is from RNAcentral.
GUGUCAGCCGCCGCGGUAAUACGGAGGGUGCGAGCGUUAAUCGGAAUUACUGGGCGUAAAGCGCGCGUAGGUGGCUUGUCACGCCGGUUGUGAAUGCCCCGGGCUCAACCUGGGAACUGCAUCCGGAACCGCCAGGCUAGAGUGCAGGAGAGGAAGGUAGAAUUCCCGGUGUAGCGGUGAAAUGCGUAGAGAUCGGGAGGAAUACCAGUGGCGAAGGCGGCCUUCUGGCCUGACACUGACACUGAGGUGCGAAAGCGUGGGUAGCAAACAGGAUUAGAAACCCCCGUAGUCC